Molecule: ribosomal RNA, 112 nt
Filed under: uncultured eukaryote
Lineage: Eukaryota
Description: partial small subunit ribosomal RNA
Rfam family: Eukaryotic small subunit ribosomal RNA
Source: RNAcentral
UCGCUACUACCGAUUGAAUGGCUCAGUGAGGCCUUGGGACUGGCUCAGGAGGGUUGGCAACGACCCCCCAGAGCCGGAAACUUGGUCAAACUCGGUCAUUUAGAGGAAGUAA